RNAcentral lists this non-coding RNA (32 nucleotides) under Homo sapiens (human). Lineage: Eukaryota; Metazoa; Chordata; Mammalia; Primates; Hominidae. The record is from RNAcentral.
GAGGGCGUGAUCAUGAAAGGUGAUAAGCUCUU